GAUGAACGCUAGCUACAGGCUUAACACAUGCAAGUCGAGGGGCAGCAUUUUAGUUUGCUUGCAAACUGAAGAUGGCGACCGGCGCACGGGUGAGUAACACGUAUCCAACCUGCCGAUAACUCCGGAAUAGCCUUUCGAAAGAAAGAUUAAUACCGGAUAGCAUACGAAUAUCGCAUGAUAUUUUUAUUAAAGAAUUUCGGUUAUCGAUGGGGAUGCGUUCCAUUAGUUUGUUGGCGGGGUAACGGCCCACCAAGACUACGAUGGAUAGGGGUUCUGAGAGGAAGGUCCCCCACAUUGGAACUGAGACACGGUCCAAACUCCUACGGGAGGCAGCAGUGAGGAAUAUUGGUCAAUGGGCGAGAGCCUGAACCAGCCAAGUAGCGUGAAGGAUGAAGGCUCUAUGGGUCGUAAACUUCUUUUAUAUGGGAAUAAAGUUUUCCACGUGUGGAAUUUUGUAUGUACCAUAUGAAUAAGGAUCGGCUAACUCCGUGCCAGCAGCCGCGGUAAUACGGAGGAUCCGAGCGUUAUCCGGAUUUAUUGGGUUUAAAGGGAGCGUAGGUGGAUUGUUAAGUCAGUUGUGAAAGUUUGCGGCUCAACCGUAAAAUUGCAGUUGAAACUGGCAGUCUUGAGUACAGUAGAGGUGGGCGGAAUUCGUGGUGUAGCGGUGAAAUGCUUAGAUAUCACGAAGAACUCCGAUUGCGAAGGCAGCUCACUAGACUGUCACUGACACUGAUGCUCGAAAGUGUGGGUAUCAAACAGGAUUAGAUACCCUGGUAGUCCACACAGUAAACGAUGAAUACUCGCUGUUUGCGAUAUACAGUAAGCGGCCAAGCGAAAGCAUUAAGUAUUCCACCUGGGGAGUACGCCGGCAACGGUGAAACUCAAAGGAAUUGACGGGGGCCCGCACAAGCGGAGGAACAUGUGGUUUAAUUCGAUGAUACGCGAGGAACCUUACCCGGGCUUAAAUUGCAACAGAAUAUAUUGGAAACAGUAUAGCCGUAAGGCUGUUGUGAAGGUGCUGCAUGGUUGUCGUCAGCUCGUGCCGUGAGGUGUCGGCUUAAGUGCCAUAACGAGCGCAACCCUUAUCUUUAGUUACUAACAGGUUAUGCUGAGGACUCUAGAGAGACUGCCGUCGUAAGAUGUGAGGAAGGUGGGGAUGACGUCAAAUCAGCACGGCCCUUACGUCCGGGGCUACACACGUGUUACAAUGGGGGGUACAGAAGGCGGCUACCUGGUGACAGGAUGCUAAUCCCAAAAACCUCUCUCAGUUCGGAUCGAAGUCUGCAACCCGACUUCGUGAAGCUGGAUUCGCUAGUAAUCGCGCAUCAGCCAUGGCGCGGUGAAUACGUUCCCGGGCCUUGUACACACCGCCCGUCAAGCCAUGAAAGCCGGGGGUACCUGAAGUCCGUAACCGCAAGGAGCGUCCUAGGGUAAAACUGGU
This 1441-nucleotide ribosomal RNA is filed under the name uncultured organism. RNAcentral's name for it is "16S ribosomal RNA". It matches the Rfam family "Bacterial small subunit ribosomal RNA". The record is from RNAcentral.